AAUCUUCCGCAAUGGACGAAAGUCUGACGGAGCAACGCCGCGUGAGCGAAGAAGGCCUUCGGGUCNUAAAGCUCUGUUGUUAGGGANGAACAAGUAUCGGAGUAACUGCCGGUACCUUGACGGUACCUAACCAGAAAGCCACGGCUAACUACGUGCCAGCAGCCGCGGUAAUACGUAGGUGGCAAGCGUUGUCCGGAAUUAUUGGGCGUAAAGCGCGCGCAGGCGGUCUCUUAAGUCUGAUGUGAAAGCCCCCGGCUCAACCGGGGAGGGUCAUUGGAAACUGGGAGACUUGAGUGCAGAAGAGAAGAGCGGAAUUCCACGUGUAGCGGUGAAAUGCGUAGAGAUGUGGAGGAACACCAGUGGCGAAGGCGGCCUCCUGGGAUAACACUGACGCUCAUGCACGAAAGCGUGGGGAGCAAACAGG
Molecule: ribosomal RNA, 424 nt
Filed under: uncultured bacterium
Lineage: Bacteria
Description: partial 16S ribosomal RNA
Rfam family: Bacterial small subunit ribosomal RNA
Source: RNAcentral